This is a non-coding RNA of Hygrophoropsis aurantiaca, 101 nucleotides long. NCBI's taxonomy places the organism in Eukaryota, Fungi, Basidiomycota, Agaricomycetes, Boletales, Hygrophoropsidaceae. The record is from the annotation of a GenBank genome assembly.
GAACCCGUGGCGCAGUGGUAGCGCGUAUGAUUCCAGCAGUGUCCUCUGCGACUUGAAAAUGAAAAUCCAUAAGGUCAUCCGUUCAAUCCGGGUCGGGUUCA